AUAUAUAUAUACACACGAAGACAAAUCGACUGUGCAAAAACAUCAUUUACGUCAAGUACGUCGAGGUUUAAAACUGUUUUUACCCACUCGCAGUCACAGACAAAAAAAAGUGAGUAGAAAAGUUAUUGGAAUUAAUUUAAUAAGAAUUCAAUUAUGGCUCAUUACUAAAAAUGAAUUAACAAAUAACAAAUAGAAAACUUUUUCUUUUCCUUUUCUUUUGAUGUGCGCAAAACAAACCAUUCCGUUUUUGACGUUGAGACAGGACAAAGUAUUGAGAACACUUGGAGUGGUUUACUCUUUCACUUGUUUCAGUUAUUUGACUGCGGCCAUGCUGGAGCACCGCCUUUAAUCGAGCAACUCGACCCCGGAACUUAUUCUUUUGCAAGCCCAGUACUUAUUCUAUCGGUCUCUUUUGCCGAACCGCUAGGGGGGGGGACAAACACAGACACAUACACAUAUAUAUACAUACAUAUAUACGACGGGCUUCUUUCAGUUUCCGUCUACCAAAUCCACUCACAAGGCAUUGGUCAGCCCGGGGCUAUAGCAGAAGACACUUGCCCAAGAUGCCACGCAGUGGGACUGAACCCGGAACCAUGUGGUUGGUUAGCAAGCUACUUACCACACAGCCACUCCUGCGCCUAUAUACGUAUAUAUAUAUACGAUUGUAUAUUAUUUUUUAAUUUUUAUAUACUGUACACACACAAACACACACACAGACAUUUCUUUUAGUCAUUAGACUGCGGCCUUGCUGAGGCACCGACUUGAAGAAUCUGUUAGUGGAAUGAAUUGACCCCAGUACAUAUUUUUUGCGAAGCCUGGUACAUAUUUUAUCGUCACUUUACCGAAACGCUAUAUUACGAGGGUGUAAACAAACCAACACCGAUUAUCAAGCGGUGGCGGGGGACAAAACACACACACACAUCUAUCUAUCUCUCUAUCUAUCUGUCUGUCUAUCUCUGUCUCUCUCUCUCUCUCUCUCUCUCUCUCUCUCUCUAUAUCUCUCUCUAUAUAUAUAUAUAUAUAUAUAUAUAUAUAUAUAUAUAACAACAACAACAAAAAAUAUAUAUGACGCCCUUCUUUCAGUUUCCAUCUGCCAGAACUAUUGACAAGGCUUUGGUCGGCCCGAUGCUUUAUUAGAAGUGGGUUGGAACCUAGAACCAUGUAUCCACACAGCCAUGCCUGUGACUAAAUAUGUCUUUGUAUUUAUUUACUGGUUCUAUAUUUGAGCUACGGUCAGGCUGGGGCACCAUCUGAAGGAGAUUUUUAGACGGGGGAUAUCUACUCUAGAUCUUAUUUCAGUUUGACUCUGGGCGCUUAUUUUCAUUGAUGUCUACUGAAUGGUUAUCUUUUUGUUUUUGAUAUAAAAGAAUGUAACUUGAUACACCGGAAAGCGCGCUCGCUCGUACACACACACACACACACACACACACACACACACACACACACACACACACAAUCACACCUUUUUCUGUGUGUGUGUGUGUAUUCCUUUAGGAAUGUCAGAUUUUUUAAUUCAUAUUUUUUUUUAAACUAAACAAUUUGAAACUUCGGAUACUGGUUGAAUGUGUCACGUAGAACACGGUUUACUCUUAACGUUUUAUUCACUAAUUAGGGAAUGGGUGAGAAAAACAGAAAGUUCUUUUUUAGGGAAUACAUACGUGUGUGUGUGUGCGUGUGUAUUUUUCCAUCUUAUCCAAUGUAUCUUCUCGUCUAUAUAAUGUUAGCGUGUGACAUUGAGAGAGAUUUGUCUGUUAUUUCCAGCACAUCAAGCAACUAUACAGAUUCUCACAUUUUCUCUCAUACACACACACAUACAUGCAUAUAUACACAUACAUACAUACAUGUACAUAUACACAAAUAUACGUUUUAAUCGUUUUCAGUUUACCCGAUUAUUUUUAAUGUGACAAAGCGUAGGGAAAGAGAGAGAGAGAGAGAGAGAGAGAGAGAGAGAGAGAGACGCUGAUAUUGAAUAGAUCCGAAAUCUCUAUAUUCCAUUAUUUUCGUUGGUAAUCACAAAUAGAAAAAGGAAGCAUUAACACUAUUCCGCGUGACGUGUGACGUCCUGAACAUCACAUUUUUCAAAACAUUUCUGAUGAUUCUUUGGUUUUCAAAGUAAGAAAACAAACAAGGAGAAACGGAGAAACCACCUAUUCGAUUUUUAAAAUUAUCUUUCUAUCUCCUUUACCGCGCAAAUCCUUCGUUUUAAACUUACUUCGAAACUUCUGGUGGUGAGGGAUGAUUCCACGUUAAAAGUACAGAAGUUAGGAUUACGAAAAGAAAAUCUUUAUUUUCUUAUAUUUUCGAUGCCGAUGGCUUACGAUAAUUUACCUCUUUGAAUUUGUGGUCAUAAACCGAAAGUAUGGCAUGUAAAAUUGUAUUGAUCCUUUGUCAGAUAAUUGAUGAGGAUUUGGCGACCUUCUGUAUCUGUGUUCCGUUUGUGCAUUUGCUUACGAACCACAUGGUUCCGGGUUCAUUCCCACUGCGUGGCACCUUAGGCAAGUGUCUUCUACUAUAGCUUCGGGUUGACCAAAGCCUUGUGAGUGGAUUUGGUAGACGGAAACCGAAAGAAACCCGUCGUAUAUAUGUUUGUGUGUCUGUGUUUGUUCCCCACAACAUCGCUUGACAACAGAUGCUGGUGUGCUUACGUCCCUGUAACUUAGCGGUUCGGCAAAAGGGACGAUAGAAUAAGUACUCGGCUUACAAAGAAUAAGUCCUGGGGUCGAUUUGCUCGACUAAAGGCAGUGCUCCAGCAUGGCCACAGUCAAAUGACUGAAACAGGUAAAAGCGUAAAGAGUAAUAUAUAUGUAUGUAUGUGUAUAUAUAUAUAUAUAUAUAUAUAUAUAUAUAUAUAUAUAUAUAUAUAAUAUAUAUAUAUAUUACAAUACAUUCUACGUUUGUAUGUGUGUUGUGUGUGUGUGUGUAAGAAAGUUGAACAGGCGGUUAAUGGAUUCAAAGUAAGCAUUUAUAAACAGAAGUGAGUAUAAAUACAUAUCAGCGGAAAAACAGGAAAAUCUGGAAAGUGAUAGUUCAUAGUAAUUCUUCACAUGUGUGUUGUAUAUAUAUAUAUAUAUAUAUAUAUAUAUAUAUAUAUAUAUAUAUAUAUAUAUAUAUAUAUAUAUAUAUGCAUAUGUAUAUAAUUAAGAGAAAUAGCCUCUAUUAAGUAAUUCAAUAGUGAAAGACUUUAUCUAUAUCAUAUAGAAAAAUUUGAUAUUCUAUAAUAAAUAUUAUUCAAAAAAUCACUAAAUUAAAUAAACAUUAAAUUGACUACGCGCGUUUCGUGACUAUAUCUUUAUAUAUAUGCUUAUAUAUAUAUUUUUAAUGCAUGUGUGUGUGUAUAUAUAUAAAUUGUUUGGUAUGCAGAUUUUAUGUAUUAUCCAAAAUUCUGAUUAUCUCCUUUUCCUUAAUAUAUGCAUGUAUGUAUGUAUGCUUGUGUGUAUGUAUAUAUAUAUAUAUAUAUAUAUUAGCCAUGAUAAGAUGGCUUCUAUACUUUACAUUAUCAAGCGAUUACUGUUUCAAUCUCAUUCUGAGAUUUAAUUAUGAUAUAUAUAUAUAUAUAUAUAUAUAUAUAUAUAUAUAUAUAUAUAUGCAUAUAUGCAUGUAAGUAUAAGAGGUGUACAUUAAAAAUUGGCAUGUUAAAAUUAAAAUUUUUUCUCUGACUAGAAAUUUACAAAAUACUUGAAAGUAGACACCAAGCUCAAACUACUUUCAUUAUGUUAGACUGAUAAUGUUUAAAAUAAUACUUAAGUUCUGUAAAGGGAUUGCUACUAAUAAUAGCAAAGCGAUGUAUGUUUACUUAAAUAUCAUCUUAAGUGGGACCAUUUCCUUUCAUCCUAACUACGCUCAUUAUUUUUGACGAAUAUUCAGUGUCAUUCUCAGGGUUCCUGUUUACGUUAUUAACAUCAAAUUUCGAGCUUUCGUUAAAGGAAUUUGAUAUUUAUCGGACUACGAUAAAGAACAUGAGUAUUGACAUAAUGAGAUACGCCAAAAUCUUUUUCACUCAAUUUUACAUCGAGAAUUUUGCAGACAAAAACGAAGUAAUCUUUUUAUAUAGGCGCAAAAUCUGAAAUUUCAGUUGAGGUGGGGGGGGGGGCUAGUUGAUUACAUCGACUUCAGUGCUCAACAGGCAAUUAAUUAUUUUAUCGACCUCGAAGGGAUGAAGGCAAAGUCGACCUCGGCGAAAUUUGAACUCAGAAUGUAAAGCCGUAAGAAAUGCCACGAAGCAUUUUGACCAAUAACGAAAUAAUGAAAAUAUUAACGAAUAAAAGUAUUCAUUAAAAAACAAACAAACAAAAUAAACUCUUUUUCUGCGUGUCUUUAAGGUCCGCCUCAAUCAAUGCUUCUCUAUGCGGAACGUGGGUUACUUAGGAACGUAGGAAUGAGACCUAGGUAACUAAGAAGUGAAUAAAAGUACCAAUAUUAUAUAUAUUAGAUGAAUAUAUACAUACAUAUACAUAUAUGUAUUUCUCUCUCUCCCCCCUCCUUCUCUCUGGCAACCAAUGCCUAGUGCGCGCGUGUACAUGAAUUUGGUAAACAGAAACUGAGUCGUGUGUAUAUGGCAUCCGGACAAAAGCGCCCUAAGGACAAAAUGGCCCCGAACAAACCCCCCUUGUUAAAGUGUGAAAGUGAACAACCCACCCUCGGUUAUUCUCCGCCUUCCUUAUCGAACUCAGAAUGUUUCUAGUUUCAAUCCUUAGACUAUUAGACUGCAGUCAUGCUGGGGCACCGCCUUGAGGACUUUUUUUAUUACUUGUUUCAGUCAUUAGACUGCGGCCAUGUUAGGGCACCGCCUUGAAGAAUUUUUAGUCGCAAAAAAUGAGCAUUUUAAAAUUUAAAUUUAGUCUUUUGUCUUCUUCUCUCAACACUUAGAGAUUAAUGAGAAUGAGCUGACCUUUUGAACUUUCUCCGGCCGUUGAAGGUCUAAUAGAAUUAUGGCGCCGAAGGCUAGUCGUCCAAACGUACUUCUUAUCGUUUCUAUCUUUCUACCCAUCUCUUGAAGUAAAUACUUUUGUUAGAAUUCAGACAAUAUGUAUACAUUGAGCAGUAAAGUCCUGUGUUCUGUCAUUCUAUUCUAUUUAUUUUCGAUUGGAUAUAUUUUUGUCUACUUAAAAAUAGUAAUUUUGAAUAAUAAAAAUUUUUUUACAAUCGCGAUUUCCUGUUUUGUUUACGUGAAAUUAUAAAAACAAAUUCAAGAGAUUUGGUUGUUAUUUCUAGCAUGUGUAGAGACCUUCUAAGCUUAACUUCAUGCGCUGGUUGAAAAUAAUCUGAAAAAUAUUCUGGGGGCAAAAUAUUUGACUGAAAAUUUUUCAAGGUGGUGCCCCAGCAUGGCCGCAGUCAUGCAACAAGGAAGCAGAAAAAAAAGAAAGUUCUGGUGUCAAUACAUUCGACUACAAAUUCUUCAAGGUGGGGCCCCAGCAUGGCCGCAGUCUAAUGACUGUAACAAGUAAAAAGGGGGAAGAAAAACGAAAAAAACCCCCCGAAAAAUAUAAUCAAGAGGGGUUUUGACCACUUUCACACUUUAACUAUGUGGGUUUUUGUCCUAGGUGGGGUUAGGUUUAUCCUAAGGGUCUUUUGUGCUACACUUGUGGAUAUAUAUGUAUAUGGUGGUCGUGGGCUGAAUGUAUAUGUAUAUGUUGGUAGGGGGGGGGGGGAUCUCUGUGUUUGUUCUCCCACCGCUUACCAACUGGUGUUGGUUUCUUUACAUCCGCAUAACUCAAGAUAUUUAAUCACCAAGGCUCUUACCAACUAAACAUGUAGUUUAAGCAAAUGGGAUGAAUUAACCAAAAAUAAACCACACAAAGAAUACAAACAUCUACAUGCAUACAUACAUAUACACACACAUAUGUACAUACUAGCAUAUAUAUAUAUAUAUAUAUAUAUAUAUAUAUGUGUGCUGUAUGUACAUAUGUAUGCAUGUAUAUAUAUAUGUAUAUAUAUGUAUAUAUAUGUAUGUAUGUACAUACACAUGCAUACACACAUAUAUUUAUAUAUACAUACAUAUACUAGGAUUCUCUCUUCAGGCAAGAUAGCUUCCCAGUACCUCAGCCCACAUCCUUUCUCUCUCUUUCUCUCACCCUAUAACUGCCAUUCCACCUUGUCUCCAUGCUUUUAUUUAUUAUUUUGACAUUCUUGUGCAGGGAAUUUGGAAUUUGGGGCAAAGCAUAUUAUCCACCCUACCCCCACCAACCACCCCUUCCAACCUCCUAUAUUCCUCUCCUCCAAGCCUGACUAUGUUGUACUCGCUUAAACCUUUAUAACAACUGUCUUCUUUGUUGGAUAUUCAUAUAUAUUAAAUAUCACGCACCCACAUACACACAAGCGUAUAUACAUAUAUAUAUGUAUAUAUAUGUGUGUGUGUGUGUGUGUGUGUAUGUAUGUAUGUAUGUAUGUAUGUAUAUAUACACUCACUACAUUCUCAGCAGUAUAUAACCAAAACAUAUGGGAAAGAAAAAAAGUGUGAAUUUGUGCUGGGGUAUAUAUUCCAUGUAUUUAUUUGAGAGAGAGGGGAUGGGUUGAAGCAAGACACUUUUACUGAUUCACUGACUAGCUGAUGCCUCUCUAUUUAUCUCCAUAUAUUAUCUAAAUUCAUGUUAACCAUAGCAACACAAACUGAACCUAGUACUUACCAGAACUAUGAUGCCAGAUGUUGAAGUUGUGAUCAUCACAUCUUUUAAGCUCAUAGUAUGUGAUUUGAAGGAGCAUUGACUGGUAUUCCUAGCAGGUCAAACAACAAUGUACAGAUUCCUUUGUGAUAUCUUCGUCUCUCUCACUUUAUAAGUUCAUGUAUAUAUACACUAGCGUAGCUAGAGUGUGUGCCACCUGGGGCGGCCCUUCCAUUUGCUGCCUCUGGAUCCCACAAAAAAACCACAUAUUGCCUACAGCAGACCCAAAAGUGCUGCCCCCACCACAAGCUAUGCCAGUAUGUAUAUAUAUUAUACAUAUGUAUGUGUUUGUCUGUGUAUAUAUAUAUAUGUAUGUAUAUCUAUCUGUAUGAUGAUAAUAGUCCCUUGUAGUCCAAAAUGGAUGGUUCUGCAAUUGUUUGUUGAACAACCUGCAUAAAUGGUUUGUUUACAGUGAUCAAAUGUUUGUGCUGUACAUCAGCUCAUUUCCUCCAUCAGAUCAACAUUGCCUGAACAGGGGCUUGAUGUAUCAAAGGUCAAGUGUCAAGAUGAGAUAAAGAACACAAUGGCACUACCUGGUCCGGGAAUUGAAACCAUGAUCUCACAUUUGAGAGUGCAACAACCUAACCACUAGGCUAUGUGUCCUUUCACACACAUAUACACACAAACACACACACACACACACAUAUAUAUAAUAAAUAUAUUAUAUAUAUAUAUAUAUAUAUAUAAAAUAGAUAUAGUAUAUAUAUAUAUAAUAAAGAUAUCAGGGACAGGAGUGGCUUGCUUACCAACCAUAUGGUUCUGGGCUCAGUCCCACUGUGUGGCACCUUGGGCAAGUGUCUUCAACUUAUAGCCUUGUGAGUGGAUUUGGUAGACAGAAACUGAAAGAAGCCUGUCGUAUAUAUAUGUGUGUGUGUUUGUUUGCCUAUGUUUGUUCCCCCACCAUUGCUUGACAACCAAUGUUGGUGUGUUCACGUCCCCGUAACUUAGCGGUUUGGCAAAAGAGAUCGAUACAAUAAGUACUAGGCUUACAAAGAAUAAGUACUGGGGUCGAUUUGUUUAACUAAAGGUGGUGCUCCAGCAUGGCCACAGUCAAAUGACUGAAAUAAAUAAAAGAAUAUAAAAAUAAAUAAUAUAUAUAUAUAUAUAUAUAUAUAUAUAUAUAAAUAAUAUUAUAUAUAUAUAUAUAUAUAUAUAUAUGUAAAAAAUAUAUAUAUAUAUAAAGAUGCAUAUAUGGAUACAGGACAUCACUAACAGUGCAAAUAACAUACGUAUGAGAGAUAGAUACAAGACAUGGACAGUAAUUACAGGCCAAAAUGUGUGAAAUACGUAAUCAAUGAGAAAAAAAUGGAAAACAGGACAAGGUUACACAGAUGUCAGUGGUCUGUCUACUCCUCAUUUCGAGCAUGUGUGUGUGUAUGUAUAUAUUUGUGUGUUUGUGUUUGUACUCCUACCAUUGCUUGACAACCAAUGCUGGUGUGUUUAUGUCCCUGUAACUUAGCAGUUCAGCAAAAGAGAUUAAUAGAAUAAGUACUAGGCUUAGAAAGAAUAAGUCAUGGGGUCCAUUUCUUCAACUAGUGUGUAGUAUAUAUAUAUAUAUGUAUGUAUAUAUAUACACAUGUGUGUGUGUGUCUGUGCGCAUGUGUGUAUUAUGGUUUUGCUUGGGCAUGACAAUACUAGUAUCCAGUUGUUAAAACUCAAUAUAAAUAUGCUUUAGAUAGAGUACAAAGUAUGAUAUAGAUUAUUGGUGUUAUUGAUUCUAAUGUAGAUCAUUAUUACUGGAUUACGUAAAUCCUGUUGUCUUGUUAUUCAACAAUUUAUCUACUUACAUAUACAUAUAUGCAUGCAUAUGCAUGUAUGCGUGAAUGUGUAUAUGUGUGUGUGUGAAUGUGUGCAUAUGUGUGCAAAGAUGUGCGUGUUUAGGAAACAAGAACCACUGUCAUGAGUUCAUGUCAGAACAUGAUACGUUGAAGCCAUAUCUAGCAGUCUCACCUCUCAUACAUGCCAUUCACAAUGACGUUUCACCCUGAUUUUGAGCCUGAUGGCAUAUUUCUAGACAUUCCACUGGCCUUUGGUGUGGUGAAUGUUUAAACAGGUGGUUAUCCACCAAGGCCUAAUUGAGUUAAGGUGUGGUCAGAGAUAUUGUUAAACCUUCAAACAAACUGACCUACUUGUUUAUCAUGUUAUCAUGACAUGUAUCUCGUGUCUCAGUCUCUCUCUCUUAUCUGUCUAAAUAUAUAUACAUAGAUAUAUAUGUUUAUAAAAGAAAUGAUAAAGUUGGAAAGUGGAAUACAUGUGGAAACCUUAUUACUCACAACGAUUGUUUCAUUUUUGCACAUCCUGCAUUGGUCCCUCGCAUGUGGGGAAAUGCACAACUAGUUUUAGUGCAUCCCUCAGAGCAGAAAUGUCUCUUCAGGUGAUAUAAUAAGGGGUAACUUGUUAAAUAAAGUCUGUUUCUCACAGAUUUAAUACAGCCUGUUGUUUGACUAUAGAUAUAAGCUGUUGGGCAGGUGUGGUGAGGGAUAGAUUCUGUUGUGAAGUUAUAGAUACAGACUGGGAGUAAUUAAGAAAAAUAAGAAGAAUAAAAAGAAUAAGAUUAAAACAUACAAUAAAGUGAAGUGAAACAUGUGUGUCAGUAUCCAGAUAUAGAUACUUCUAUACCCACACUUUUGACCCUUUGUAUACACACACUCACUCAAUAUGUAUAGUUAAGUACAAUGUGUGUGUGUACACAUUCACAUGUAUUAAUAUUUAAAAUAGUUUGGUGACUUGAAGUUUCAUGGGCUUCUAAUAGAAACCUUGUCUUGUUCAGGCUUAGAUUACACACAUACACACACAUAUACAUCUUUCAUUCUCUCACUCUCUGUCUCCAUCUUCCCUCCCUGACUCUGUCUCUGUCUCUGUCUCUCUCUCUCUCUCACACACCUUUCUUACUUUUUAUUUCUAGCUGUAAUUCUUCCAUGAGUUCUGCUACUUCAUGUGGCAGAGAGUGAAAGAGAAAGAGAGAGACAGAGGGAGAGUGUAUGUUUGUGUGUGAGAAUGUGUGAGUGUGUCUGUGUGUACGUAUAUAUGGGUGUAUGAUGUGGUGUGUGUGUGUGUGUGUGUGUAAAAUAAACUUACAGAUAACAACACUUUUGGUCACAAACAAAAAUAGCAGAUUGGUUAUUGACAUAUAUAUCACAGUAUCACAGGAUUAACCAGACCAUCAGAUGCUGUUAUAUGUGGUCUGAUCAAUAAGUAUCUGGAAUGUUGCCAUAGUAACGAAGCUAAAGCAUGCAGAGUGAAGCUGCUUGGCACAGUGAUAAUGGACUGAACUGAAUUGCAACUAAUCUGCACGUCCUCUGAUAACUCACAGAUGGUUAUUCAAUGAUUUCCCCUCACAGCUGCAUGCACAUCUGCAAUGUUUUUUCUCAUUUCUGCUGGUUGCAGGUCACCCAGAAUGUUCGUCAAUAUUGACAUUUUUUCAGCCAUCUUGGAAACGUCUAAACCACGUGUGGCUCAUAUACUCCUCUCCAUACACUUCCUACAACUUUGCAUAGGUCUCUGUGCAGGUAUCGACAUGAACAACUUUCUCUGUCAUGGUCAAUAUGAUGAUCACAUGCUACACACCUUCCUUCCAAGCACUGCUGUAAGCAGCAGAAGUGAACUAGAACAUCAAAACUUAGUGUGCAUGUAUAGCAGAGUUAAAGGUCACUCUUGGCCAAGUGGCUUCACUCUGUGUGCUUUAGCUUCAUUACUAUAGCAACAGCCGGAUACUUAUUGAUCAGACCUCAUACACUGCUUCUCACAAUAUGUUUCCAAUUCUGUCUUGAUUCUGUAUUAACCCAAAUUGCUUUACAAAAUUAUCUUCACAUAAUCGUGGAGGUUUUCCAAGUGGUGUUUCCUCAUGCACACAUAUACGUAUUUAAUGGUCAAAACUUCAAAUUCUUGUGGUAAUGUCCUUACUUGUCCAGUCUUUAUCUGUCCAGUCUACGAUAAAGAAGAACAACUCACAUCAACAUCUUCCUCUCCAUCCAGAUAUCGAAAUUACGGAACUUUACAGAUCAGAACGAACUGUAAAGAACUCAUCUGAAAAUAUUAGCAAACUUUUACAAUACAACAUCUACAAAUACAUCUCUCUCUCUCUCUCUCUCUCUCUCUCUCUCUCUCUAUAUAUAUAUAUAUAUAUAUAUAUAUAUUAAUAUAUUAAUAUUAUAUAUACACACACACACACUCACACAUAUAUACAGGGGUGUCUUAGUUGUGUUAUAGCCCCCACCUCACUGCUCCCUGGCAAAUCAGUGCACUGGGCCAUAUAGUACUUAUUUACUGAGAGCAAGCCACAGUAUACAUACACUGAUCAGAAUUGGCCUCUUAGCACCAUGAACAAGAUAUCUAUGUGACACUGCUAGAGACUGUGGUCAAUCCCUGGCUGGAGGGAGUUGCUGCUGGAAGGCCAUAUAUGUGAUAGUAAGAUUUAGCUCCUUGCUAUACCUCCAGAAAGAGUCAGAAGUGGUUGUUGAAGAAUUUCUAUGACUUUACCAGGCCCAAUUUCUGGCCUCCUAAUCCCUUCAAUUGUAAUCCCAUGGAUUAUUAUGUGUUGGAUACAGUUGAGAAAGAGACACUGACUGCUCUGUCUGAAACUGCAAGGCUGAGCUGGUGGCCAAGAUCAAUGAGGUAUUCAAAUAUUUUCCAAGGGACACAGUGAAGAAUGCAUGCAUUAGGUCCAAGAACUGUCUUGAGACCUUUGUGGAAGGUGAGGGUGGCUACUUUGAGUAAACUGAGUGAUCUCUGCCAUAAUUUAGUUGAUAAUUUUUGAUUUUGGAUGGGAUGUCAUGUUUCCUUUUCUUUUUUUUUAAACUAUCAAAUUUAGCUUGAACAUCCUGUAUAUCAUCAUCAUCAUCGUUUAACAUCUACUUUCCAUGCUAGCAUGGGUUGGACGAUUUGACUGAGGACUGGUGAACCAGAUGGCUGCACCUGGCUCCAAUCUUGAUCUGGCAGAGUUUCUACAGCUGGAUGCUCUUCCUAAUGCCAAUCACCCUGAGAGUUUAGUGGGUGCUUUUAUGUGCCACCAGCACGAGGGCCAGUCAGGUGGUACUGGCAAUGGCCAUGCUCAAAUGGUGUUUUUUUUUACGUGCCACCUGCACAGGACCUUGCUUGAAUGUUACUUUGUUGGGUAAUUUAUUGAGUGUUAAAGAAAGGCUAAGGAAGUCCAGCAGCACUGGCAACGACCUCGCUUGAAUGUUUUUUCACAUGCCAUCUAUAUAAAUGUAUGUGUGUGUGUUUGAGUCUGUGUUGGAGCCCCACCUCUAUUUGACUACUGGUAUUAAUUUGUUUACAUCCUUGUAACUUAGAGGUUUGGCAAAAGAGACGUAAAACUGUGAGCACUGCAGUCAAUUUGUUCAAGGUAAUGCUGCGGCUUGGCUGUACUGAAACAAGUAUAAAAUAAAAGAAAUAAAGGUGGUUGGUUGUGAGCUGAGUGAGACUUAGCUGUUAUUUCUAGCAGAUUAAAGAACCAUGUAGAAGUUGGCCUAUCCACUGGUUUUGGACUGAUGUAGUUUUUGUUGUUGUUGUUGUUGAUGAUGAUGUAUAGUCCCAAUUCCACUACAACCAAGUAAAUUUACAUCAAAUGUCACAUUGUAGCCAUACACACCUCAAGUUUUUUUAAGGAUAUCUCAGUCAACAUUAUCUUAUGUGCCUCGCCUUUUUAAGAUGACUAUGUAAUUUGAGAGGGAUUUGACUGCUAUUUUUUAUUGCAGGUCACAGGAGCUGCAUAGAUCUCCCUCCCCACCCACACACUGCCUUGUAAUUGGUUGGUUAGUUGUGUGAAUAUAUUAUUAUUGUUAUUUGCUGUUGUUAUUUAACCAUAGAUCAGCCUUGUUCAAGCACAUUUUUCAUUAAAGUCAUCCCAGCCAUAAUUUGUCUCAAACCUAUUAUAGAUCCUUCUACCAGCCAGCACUUAAUGCCCUUUUCAUGACAUUUAAGUGACUCAGAAUACAAGACUCCUCCCUGAACAGAAUGCUGAUCUAUCACAGAGACAACCACCCUACCCUACCCCAGCUGUUGUUGGCACUCAUUUUUAUUUGAAUAAACUGAAAUAAUGUGAAGUAAAGUGACCUGCUUAAGUACCCAACACAUGGGCCUGUCUGAGGAGCCAACACUGAAACUACUAUGCCAUAUGCCUUCACAUUCCAGCUAUGAGCAAACAAGAUUUAUUUUCUAGCAUAAUGUAUCUAGGACUACAUUAUUCAAUAUAUCCUUUUUUUAGAUAGUAAGCCAUAGAGUUUGACAUCAGAAGUAGGUCAUUCACCGACACCCCAUAGACCUAGGGCAGAUGAGGCCUUUCAUUCAGCUCUUUUGUUGCUCAUCUCCAUUCAAAUUCUUUUUGCCCCAGAUUGAUACAAGUUUAAAGGACAGACAGUGGAACUUACAGUACAAACCAUGCCCACUAUAAAAUAAAUCACUGUUACUUUGUGGGGUAAUUUACUGAGUGUUAAAGAAAGGCUAAGAAAGUAAACCCAAACAGAAAAUACAGAGAGGGAAACCCUAAGGCAGAUAUGUAUGAUUAUACUUAACCAUUAUCUGGCAUCCCUUGCAGCUCCAUGGAUGCUGCAAAUGUAUUGACUUGUCUUUCCCUUGUGGUGUAUCCAUGACUGGAGAGGUCAUGGUAAGUGUACUUGGGAUUAGUCAUUUGCUUCUAGAAACAGUCCAAACAGAGCAGAGGUGGUUAAGUUACUGUCUCUGCAAUUAUGAAAAAGGUCAACCAAGGUUGGUAACAAUGGCUUAUGUAUUGUUUGUGUUUGCUGUUAUUGUUGUCACUGUUUAGCCCUCAGAUAACAACUCUAAUAGAAUAAGUCUGUAAUGAAAGGCAUUCCAGUCUUCACUCUCCAGUCAUUUUAGGAGUACAAAAGACUGCAUGAUUUAGUGUGUCCUUUCUUUAUUUAAGACAGUGUGAUAUAAUUGAAGAGAGAGUUGGCUGCUAUAUCUAGCAUGUUGAGUUUUAGCAAGAAGGCCCCAUCACUGGUGCAUUCAAUAAUUCCUUUGGGGUCUGGUUUCCUUUUGGUAUGUUUGUGAUUUUGCCAGUCUCUAAGGCUUCUGAAAUUUUGAAUUUCUUUUUGCUUUUCUGAAGUCAGAUCAAAGGAAAUGAUCAAGUUAUCGUGGGAAGGAAUCCUUUGAUAAUGGCCAAAAUAGGUCACCUGCCUAUGAAAACUCUAAAAAGGAAAAACAAAAAUAAAGAGAUAAAAGGGUUUUUUUGUCCUUAAGAUCAAAACAGUAGUUUAAUAUAACCUAUGACUUUGUAAAAUUAAAGAUUUAUUAUUUUUCUCAGUUUGGCUAAGUGGUAAGAAGCUUACUUCCCACCAUGUGGUUCCGAGUUCAGUCCCACUGCAUGUUCACUUGGGCAAGUGUCUUCCACUAUAGCCUUAGGCUGACCAAAGCCUUGUUGUGAGUGGAUUUGGUGGAUGGAAACUGAAAGGAACCUAUUGUAUAUAUAUAUAUAUAUAUAUAUAUAUAUAUAUAUAUAUAUAUAUAUAUAUAUAUGAUUAUGUUUAUGUGUAUGUGUAUGUGUCUUUAUGUUUGGGUUUGCCCCACCACCACCACCAUCACUAUUGGUUGACAACUAAUGUUGGUGUGUUUACAUCCCCAUAACUUAGCGGUUCAGCAAAAGAGACUGAUUGAAUAAGUACUAGGGUUACAAACAAUAAGUCCUGGGGACAAUUUAUUUGACUUUAAAAAAAAACCUUUAAGGCAGUGCUCCAGCAUGGCUGCAGUCAAAUGGCUGAAACAAGUAAAAGAAUAAAAAAAUAAAAGAACAAAAUAAAACUUAAUUAUUAGCAACAAAGGCAGUAUUAGUACCAAAAGGUAAUCUCUAUUUAACAUGAAUGCCUUGUUUGAAUACUGUGCAUAAAAGUGCACAUAAAUUUCAGCAGAUGAUAACCGUCUGUCAUGGGAACCAGAACUCACAUAUCAUAUGAUUUCAGUCUAAAUGCAGUUUAGUUGUGUUGCCGUUGUCUGUGUUGUUUUUAUAUCAGCAUGUGUUGUAUACAUUCAGUUUCCAUCCAAUGACGAUGCUUUGGAAUAUGUUAUGAUGCUUUACAUUGUGUGUGCGUGUGUGUGUGUGUGUGUAUGUUGUAGUAGAAUUCUUGAUGCAGUUAAUAGUGCUAUGUAUACAGUUUCUGCAUUGAUGUGUUUUGCAUUGCUGCUUUUUAUCUUGAAUACUUGUAAUGCAUAUUUUUCUGAACAAACAAGACAUGUCCCACAAAAAAACAGCCUUUAUCUUUUAAACACGAAGUUGGGGUUUAAGUUACUGACAAAUAGCAUUUUAAGAAAGUAUCUGUCAAAAUUAAAAUGUGACUUUUAAGCACAUAUGUACAUACAUACAUAUAUACAUACAUAUAUAUAUACACACACACAUAUAUAUAUACACACACAUAUAUAUAUACACACGCACACACACACACAUAUAUCUAUAUACACAUAUAUAUAAAAUUAGUCAAGGGACAUACUAAGUAUGUUUACCUGCUGGAAAUAACAGUCAAAACUCUUAUUUAAAUCUUCAAUUUAGAUAAGAGUUUUGACUGUUAUUUCCAGCAGGUAGACAUACUUUGUAUGUCCUUUGAUUAAUUUUAAUCCUUUAGCUAUUUAUUGCUUUUUGGGGGCCUGCAAUCACCUAUAUUAUUGAUUCUGUUAUUAUCAUUUUAAAAUUGUUACACUAGAUAAUAACAGAGUCAAUGAUAUCUUUGCAAAUUAUUUUUUCAUGAAUUAUUUGCUCUGUAUAUAUCUAACCAAGGGAGUAACAGAAAAGAAGUUUGCCUAUGUUCAGCAACAUGAAGAACUGAAGCAUUUCGGGUUGCAAGACAGUGUGUGAGAGAAAAUUGUAAUGUCAUAAGAGAGAGAUGUGUCCAUGUGGAUGAUGGUGCACUUGCUUUUAAUGAUUCUGCAAAGAAAGAGGCUUGCAGAUACCAUUAUGAAUGAUUGCUGAAUGUGGAGAAUGAAUGGGAGGAGGAGGGUCUGCCAAAUGUUGACCCAAUUGAAGGACCAGCUACCCAAAUCGACAGUCCUUAGUAGAUAAUGCGAUUAUGGAUAUGAAUACAAGGAAAGCCCUCGGCCCAUCAAGGAUCACUGCCGAGAUAUUUAAAAUAUCUGGUAGUGUGGGUUAUGGUCUAGUCACCUGUAUUGUAAAUCAGGUGGUUCAUGAAGGAUGACUGGUGUAGCAGCACUAUAGUCAACUGCUGCAAAGGUAAAGGUGAUGUCUAAGAUAGAAAUAAUUACAGAGGUAUCAAAUUGUUGGAUGAGGUAAUGAAAAUUACAGAGAGAGUCAUAGCCCAACUAAUUAGGAAGAGAGCUUAAAUGAGAUGCAGUUGAUUUGUGCUGGGGAGAAAUACCACUGAUUCUAUAUUUCUGAUAAGGUAGCUGCAGGAGAAAUACAUAGCUAAAGAUAAACCUCUGUACUUGGCCUUUGUUGAUUUGGAGAAAGCCUUUGACAGGGUCCCCCGAUCCCUUAUCUAGUGGUCAAACUAGUGAUAGAUGAGCAGGUAAUGAGAGCUGUACAAGCUAUGUACAGGAAUACUACCAGUAAGGUGAGGGUUGGCAAUGAGUAUAGCAAAGAAUUCAGAGUACAAGUUUACCAGGGAUCAGUGCUCAGUCCCCCCCCUCUUGUUCAUCAUAAUACUCCAGGCAACAACAGAGGAAUUUAAGACAGGCUGCCCUUGAGAGCUCCUCUACACUGAUGACCUUGCUCUUAUUGCUGAAUUACUACCUGAACUAGAGAAGUUCCAGGUAUGGAAAGAUGGGCCUUAGAGUUAACCUAGCAAAAACCAAAGUCUUAGUAUGUAGGAAGGCAGAGAAAUCCCUUCAGAUAGAAAAGGCAUAGGUAGAAACUCUAUAAGAUGCACCUGAUGAAACCUUUGGGUACACAAAAAGGUGCUGCAAAAUCAGAGGAAGGUUAACAAGGAAACUAGCAUUUGUAUGUGGAAGAUGCACAGGUACAAUAAAUGCUGAAAAUGAGCAGAAAGCAGACUCCAUCAUCUGCCAAGGGGCAAGCUACAGUUAGUAGAUAGCUUCUGUUUUCUAGGUGACCAAGUUAGUAGUGGAGGUGACUGCUCCAAGAGCAUAGCUGUGAGAAUAAGAUUAGGCUGGACAAAGUUCAGAGAGCUCCUACCUCUGCUGGCAACAAAGAGCCUCUCUCUCAAAGUAAAAGGCAGAUUGUAUGAUGCCUGUGUGUUAACAGCUAUGCUACAUGGCAGUGAAACAUGGGCUGUGACAGCUGAGGACAUGAGUAGGCUUGAAAGAAAUGAAGCCAGUAUGCUUCACUGGAUGUGCAAUGUCAGUGUGCAUGUUCGACAGAGUGUAAGCACCGUGAGAGAAAAGUUAGGCAUAAGAGGCAUCAGAUGUGUGCAAGAGAGACCAUUACACUGGUAUGGUCAUGUGAUGCAUAUGGACAAGGACAGCUGUGUUAAGAGGUGCCGAUCUCUAACUGUUGAGGGAACCUGUGGUAGAGGUAGACCCAGAUCUUCAAACAUUGAGUCUCACAGAGGCAAUGAUUAGUGAGUGAGACCUUUGGCAUCGCUGUGCUUGAGAAGACCCAUCAAGCCAAAUGAAAUUGUAGUCAUGGCUGAUGCUGGUGUCACAUAACUGGCACCUGUGCCUUUUGGUAUGUAAAGAACAUAUUUCAAGUGUUGGGCCUCAUGGAGGCAAACUGACUGAGUUCCUUUUGAGUGUUGGCAUUCACAGGCAAUGACUGAGACCUUUAGUAUUAUGUUGUGCUUGAGAAGAAAACUCAUCAGGUCAAGCAAAAUCACAGUUGUGGAAGAUAUUCAGUCCCACUCCAUAGUACAUUAGGUGUCUUCCACUGUAGCCUCAGGCUGACCAAAUCCUUGUGAGUGAAUUUAGUAGAUGGAAACUGAAAGAAGCUAGUCACACACACACACACACAUUUAUGUGUGUGUGUCUUUGUUUCCCCACCAUCCCUUAACCAAUGUUGGCGUGUUUAUGUUCCUUUAACUUGCAUUCAACUAAAGAGACCAAUAGAAUAAGUACUAGGCUUACAAAGAAUAAGUCCUGGAGGCGAUUUCUUUGACUAAAAACCCCCGUUUAACGUGGUGCACCAGCAUGGCUGCAGUCAAGUGACUGAAACAAGUCAAAAUAAAGCAAAAACAAAUAAAAGACCCGGGGGGGGGGGGGCUAAGCAACAAUAAAAACAAUAGACAAGAAAACUAUUCCCACACCUUCCCAACAUGUACAUUCCCUUCCCAUCAACAACAGACAACAACAACAACAACAGCAACAGGACAGUCUUAAACCAUUUAACAAGUUUCAAAUGAACGAGGAAACAGACAGAAUUUCACCUCCACCCUACACCCAUCCGAAAAUCAGAAUUAACCUUUACAAAAAAACGUUCCUACUCCAACACUACUACCACCACAUGAACAACAGCUGCAACCACCAACACCAACAUUAUACUACCACUAACAUCAUAAUCUUUACCACCACCACUACCGCUGCAGCAUUAAUUACCACGAACUAUCUUUAUCACUACCAUCAAGGAUAUUUGUGAUCAUAAUCAUGACUAUUACUACCAAUAAUACAACCAUCACCACCACCACCAACAACAACAACAACUACAACAGGAACAUCACUACCAGAGGCAUAACCUGUAUAAUAGCCAUCUCUCUACCAACAACUGCUUACCAUCAAAACACACAACCAUGAGUAACACCACUACCAUUAUUAGCCCCAUCUCCACUAUCAGGAUCACUGCUAUGACCACAACCAUUACCAUCACUGCUGCCGCCACCACUACCACCAUCACAACCACAGGUGCCACCAGAGUCUCCACCAACACAACUACCACUGUCACCACUGCCACCGCCACCAUAACCUCUACAAACACAACCAUCUCAGCACAAUCAUCUACCCUCCCGGGCCACAACUCUCAGUAUUGCACACACAGAACAGGAGAAAAAAUGUCAAAAGCUUAACUAAAGGAAUGACAAGGCUAAAAAGUAGGUUAACCAUGGAAGAAAGGAAAAAAUGCCUUGUCUGUUAUAUAUAUAUUUAAUGUUAUAUUUAGGCAGGUCUCUUUUGAAAAUGCUAAUAGAAUUUUCAUUAACAGAUUAGUAUUAUUAAUAUCUGUAAUAACACUUAUUUUUUUCUGAAAUUAGUAUUAUUAUUAAUGCUAUCCAAAUGGCUUUGUUUAUGUACUGUGUCAGACUGUAUUUAUCAUCAUGUUGUGUAUUUGAUACUUUUCCACCCAGACACUGCUAGUAAUAAAUAGAUGUUUUCAACUUCUGUCUGUAUUUCCCACCCAUUGACUCCCUAUAUACAUGUGCGUGCCCACGCAUGUGUGAGCCAAUGCUUGCUUAUAGGUGCGGGCAUGGCUGUGUGGUUCUGUCCCACUUGGGCAAGUGUCUUCUACUACCGGCUCAAGCAGACCAAAGUCUUGUGAGUGGAUUUGGCAGGCAGAAACGGAAAGAAGCCCACCAUAUAUGUAUACAUACAUACAUAUAUAUAUAUAUAUAUAUAUAUAUGUGUGUGUGUGUGUGUGUGUGUGUCUAUCUUUGUCCCACCACCACCUCCACUUGACAACUGGUGUUGGUGUGUUUACAACCCCGUAACUUAGCAGUUCAGCAAAAGAGAUCGAUGAAAUAAAUUCCAGUGUUAAAAAAAGAAAUACUGGGGUUGAUUUGUCAUUUAAUAAAAGAAGGCAGCGAGCUGGCAGAAACGUUAGCACUCCAGGCGAAAUACUUAGUGCUAUUUCACCUGUCUUUACAUCCUGAGUUCAAAUUCUGCUGAUGUUGACUUUGCUUUUCAUCCUUUUGGAGUCGAUAAAUUAAAUACCAGAUGUGUAUUGGGGUUGAUCUAAUCAACUGGCUCUCUCCUCAAAAAUUCUGGGCAUUGUGCCUAGCGUGGAAAAGAAUAAAAGAACUGGCUUAUUUGUCUGCAGAUAAAAGGACAGUCAUGGACAUGUUUUGGUUUAGUAACUUUUGUCAGGACGACAAAUUUCUGACCUUAUCUCCAGUAGCAGAGAGAUUUAGCCCCAUUUGAGUAGAACACAUUUAUGGCCUUUGUGUGUGUGAGUGGUUUUUGUCGGCUAAAUUCUAUUCAUAUUGGUCAAUGUGAAAGCUGUAGUUGAAGACAUGUCCAAGUUGCCACACAGAUUGAAAGAGAAGCAACUGAGAUGCAAAUUGUUCUUCUUAAUUAACUGUUGAAGCAUGAUUGUAGAAAUAUGCAUAUACAUUCACACACACAUUCACACAAAUUUUCAAAAAAAAAUUUUUAUAAACUAGAAAUACCAGAGAGUCAAGACUAUUGAAAAGGUUGCAAGAUGCAACGAAAAUUUUAGGAAAAAAAAAAAAGAAAUAGGUGGAAAUUUUACUGAUGAUUAUGUUAAAUUAUAAGGCACAAAAAGGAAAUGACUCUCCCCAGACACAAUAGAAAUACCAGAUUUCAUGGAGAAAGGGCAAAAGAAAAUGGCAUAGAUUCUCCAAUCCAAUCUAUUAGUGGCACAGUGAAAAUUUGUAAGACAUUCCCAAAAUUCUUCAUCUGAGCUUCUUUUGUGAAUAGAUGCACACACUUGGGUUUAUGCAUCAACAUUUCAACUAACACACCAGCUAAACCAGGUAUUUACAAACACUGGGAACUCUCUUGACUUAAAAAGUCAUGUCACUUUGUUAGUGACCAGCUUGAACUCUCUCAAAAGCUUGCAUAAAGUUCAAAAAAUCAUACAUACAUUCAUACAUACUUAUUUCUUUACUACCCACAAAGGGCUAAACACAGAGAGGACAGACAAGGACAGACAAACGGAUUAAGUCGAUUAUAUCGACCCCAGUGCAUAACUGGUACUUAUUUAAUCGACCCUGAAAGGAUGAAAGGCAAAGUCGACCUCGGUGGAAUUUGAACUCAGAACGUAACAGCAGACGAAAUACGGCUAUGCAUUUCGCCCGGUGUGCUAAUGUUUCUGCCAGCUUGCCGCCUUAAAUACAUUUAUACAUACUGACAGACAGACAUGGUGAUUGCACCAUCAUCACAGAUGAUUACCAUCACAGAUGAUUACCAUCACAGAUGAUUACCAUCACUUUGUGCUGCCUUGUUGUCAAUAGCACUUCUGACUUUCCAUCCAUGACCUCUCAGAUGACUAUUCAGUCCUGCUGCAGAUCUGCAUGAUUUGAAGCAUGGGUGACAGACCAAAGUUUAUAACUUGCUGUACACCUCCAGCUGGUUAGGUCUGCACAUGUUGCCGCUCUUCCCAUGCCAUAGUACUUUCAGUGGAGGAAACGACAAAGUCUGCAUAAAGAGACAGCUAUACAUCAUUACAUGAUAGUGAUAAAUGCUUGUACAACACAAGUACCAUACUCUAAGUCUCUAUAAUUAAUACCUAGUGACAGGCUGAAAUGAGGUGACCAGUAAUCACAUGAAACUGCAGGCUUUACAAAAGAGUGUCCCUCUCCGAGAAGGAUGCUGUGAUGACUCAUGGUGGUUUACAUACAUUUCUUUUAUUUUUUUACAUCAGUCAUUGGAUUAUGGCAGUCCUGGGGUACCACCAUGAAGGGUUUAGUCAACCAAAUCAACCCUAAUAUUUUUUUUUAAGGCCGGUACUUAUUCUCAAUGUCUCGUUUGCCAAAUUGCUAUGUUACAGGAAUAUAUAUAUGGCGUUAGGAAGGGCAUCCAGCUGUAGAAACACUGCCAGAUCAGAUUGGAGCUUGGUGCAGCCUUUUGGCUUCCCAGACCCCGGUCAGACCGUCCAACCCGUGCUAGCACGGAAAACGGACGUUAAACGAUGAUGAUGAUGAUGAUGAUAUAUAUAUAUAUGUAAGAAUUUUUUGUGUAAUAAGAUAAAAAAACCAAGGCUGUAUGCUCUAAUAUCAAUACAGCCUUGGUUUUUUUAUCAUAUUACGCAAAAAAUUCUUAUAUACACACGCUGACAUAGAACCAACGUUGAACCCUUUAUUCACAAUAUUACCGAAUCUGGAACUUAACUAUGGUCUGUCUAUAGCACUUAUUCAGCAUUACUGGACACCUUUGUGUGUCAAUGACACCAUUAUCUCUUAUAUAUACAUAUGUAUGUAUUUAUAGUUAUAUUUACCUGAGUGACUCAUGUUCUGAUAGUUGUGUGUUGGCACUUAGGAUACUUUGAGUCACUCUGUUACUUCUACUAGGUAUUAAUAAAAAUACACAUAUACUCAUACACUCAUAUUUUGAGUUAAGCUCCUUUCAGUUUCUGUCUGCUAAAUCCAUUCACAAUGCUUGGUUGUAGUAGAAGACACUUGCCAAAGGUGCCGUGCAGUAAGACUAAACUCAGAAGCAUGUGACUGAGAAGCAAAUUUCUUACCACAUAGCCAUGCCUAUAUAUAUAUAGGCAUGGCUAUAUAUAUAUAUAUAUAUAUAUAUAUAUAUAUAUAUAUAUAUCAUCAUCAUCAUCAUCAUUUAACGUCCGCUUUCCAUGCUAGCAUGGGUUGGACGGUUCAACUGGGGUCUGGGGAGCCCGAAGGCUGCACCAGGCCAGUCAGAUCUGGUAGAUAUAUAUAUAUAUAUAUAUGCAUACACCACACAUAUAUAAAUAUGGCUUGCAGGACGGCCUGCUGUGCUAACCUUGGAUCGUAGGAUGACCCGCUGUGCUUGAGGAGACCUACUGAGUCAAGUACAUCAACAUUUAUUUAUGGUGUGUGUGGUUUUGUCAAACAAAUUUAACAGUGUAUUGAUCAAUGUGAAGCUGUAUUACAGUAGUUCUUUACUAGGCUUCAUAUGACCCUUGAGGGUCAUUAUCAAUCUUGGGAGUCCAUUAUAAGAUUUGGUUGUUAAUAAUUAGGUGCAAUAAAUUGGUUAUACUACUACAAUACACAAAAUAUUUAAACUAAUUGUUUUAUACAAUGCUACACAGUCAGACAGAGAAAUGGGAUGCAAGCAGACAUCAAACUUUGUGUAGGCAUUACCAGCAUUUUGCAUGGUCAUUGCUGCUUAAUUUUCUGCAUGCACCACUGGGGCAGACUGAGACUAUUAAGAGCCCUUGAGCAUAACUGUUUACUGGGUCACUUAACAUUGAUAUCAGUAGAGUUAACAUGUAGAGUGCAGGCCCCUCAGAGCUCUGGGCCCUUGGGCAGUGCCUGACUGACCAAUAGCUCAGCCCACUCUUGGUGCACCAUGUUCUUAAUGUUCAGUGAUGGUCUACCUUGGUGAAGUGUGGACAUAUAUAUGUGUGUGUGUGUGUGUGUGUGUGUAUGUGUGUGUGUGCGCGUGCGUGUAUGAGUGUAGGUAUAUCAUCAUUCAUCAUCAUCAUUUAAUGUCUGCUUUCCAUGCUGGCAUGGGUUAGACAGUUUGACUGGAACUGGUAAACCAGAGAACUGUAUCAAGAUUCCAGUCUGAUUUGGCAUGGUUCCUACAGCUGGGUGCCCUUCCUAAUACCAACCACUCUGAGAAUGUUUCUUACCACUGCAAUCUUGCAGAAGAGAACUGUUACAGCUUCAUUAUGGCUGUUCAUUUAUAUCCACUCAAAUGGAUGUGGUCUCUUAUUUGUUGUUAGGUUUUCUACUUUGUUUCUCUUGGUUGUUUCUUAUCGUCUGUUUCUUGUUUAACUGUUUUAGUCAUUUACUGUCCCUUGUUGGUAACUAAGGUUUACUUUCAUUAAAUUUGUUUGGUUUGGGUUUUGUUUAGAUGCUUGUAUUUUUGUGUUCCUUAUUUUUACUUUUGCUUAUCUCAUCUUGUUAUAUAUUUGUUGAAUUCAUCUGGUGACCUCUUUAACCCAUUUAGUCCCCAGAGUACUUAAAUAUCUGAAUAUUACUUUUAAAUUUUUACAAAUGAUUGAAAAUAGGUUAAAAUGAAAAAAAUAAUUAUUAAAACUCCUGUACUUCAAGUAGAAAUGGAAACACUUGGUGUCCUAUAAAUAUGACACUGAGACAAUGUGAUAUAGCUUAUUUAAUGUUCUCAUUUAGUGUCCUAUUUAUAGGACAGUGAAUUUAAUGGGUUAAGGGCUUGCUUAAUUGUGAAGCAUCUAUGUUGUGUUUGUUUUGUUUCUCUCAUCAAAGGCAGAGUAUUUCUGGAGAAAUUUGUCCCCAAGAAAGUUUUGCAUUUCAUGGGUCCAUAUUAGGGUUCACAGUUGAGUGAUAUUUAAUUGGUUGCUUCCAAUAUGUAUUCCUAUGUUCUUUUAUCUGUGUUUCAAUUUUGUUUUGGCUAAGAUUAAAAGAUUUAAUGAAUUUAUGUGUGGCAGUAUAUUUUGUAGUCCAUGAGACCUGGUGUAUCAAUUACGUAUGGCUGGGUAAUUGUUAAGACUUGUCUUUAUCUGGGGUAUUGUAAACUUUAAUGUAGGUUAAAUGUUCUUGUGGCCAUCAAUGCUUCUUUUUUCUUUGAAUGUGUUGAAACUAGCUUCCUUGGUGACUGUUUUAUCCCUUUUGGAGUGCAGACCGUUUAGUUAAGAUGAAUUUGUUUUGGUGAAUAGUGUGAAAUAAUCUCUUGUCUAUUGAGAUUAAUGUUUAAUUUUUCAGUGAUUCACAGUGAGCAUGUUCUAGAACUAUUUUUAUGUACAAGGGCGCACAGACUAUUAAUUACUAUGUAACAUGUAUUGCAAGAUAAAUAUUCAGAACAAAUGAUCCAUAUAACUUACACAUAUUAAAUACUUACUUCUUUGUUUGUUCAAGAAAUACUGUUUUGCAUGCAACUGUGAGUACAUACAAAUACACACACAGAUGGCUAUGUGGAUUAAGACUUAUUUUAUAACCACAUGGUUUUGAAUUCAAUCCCACAGUGUGACACCUUGGGCAAGUGUUUUCUACAAUAGCUUCACAUUAACAAUACCUUGUGAAUGAAAUUUGGUUGACUGAAACUAUACAGAAGUCUGACGUAUAUGUGUGUAUGUGAAUAUAAAUGUAUGUACAGGUAUUUGUCUGUCUCUUUACAAUGAAAACACUUAGGCAACAGUGACAUUUGUUAUGUCCAAUAAGAAUAGUGAUUCGCAGUUCUGUAUGUGAGUGUGUGUGUGUGCGCAUGUGUGUAUAGGUUUGUAUAUAUGUAUGCAUAGGUGUGUAUAUAUAUAUGCAUAUAUAUAUAUAUAUAUAUAUUUGUAAAAAAUGAAGUUCGAAAAUGCUGCUGUAUUAUACAAUUUUUAAUUUUUAUAUAUACAUUAUAACAUGUUUCAGUUCCUGAAAUGAACCUUAUCAUAUAUAUAUAUAUAUAUAUAUAUAUAUAUAUAUAUAUAUAUAUAUAUAUAAUAUAUAUAUAUAUAUAGUGUCUCAAUAUACUGUUUUAUGGUACACCACAUUCCAGAAAAAUCAAGGAGAAUGAUGCCUCUUAACCCAUGAAACAUUCACAAUGAGUUUCUGUGAUGUCUGCUGGGUCUUGAAUAUCUGAGACCUUAAAGAAGAACUGUGAUACCAUUCCAUGGCAUGAACCCAUGUUUCUGGAUCAUAAACAUAUGUUCACAUUUCAUUCCCUCCCUUCAGAUCAGAAAGAAAAUGUGUCUUCAUUGGUUUCAAAAACAUCCAUCAGACCAGAACAUACUUCUAACCUUCUCUUAUUCAAAUUGUGUAAUAACUGAUAAGGUGUCCCCCACUUUACAUACACUUACUGAUUCUCAAAGUCUUCCACCAUCUUCUGCAAUCCAUUGUGAUCUAAAACCCAGUUGUGCAGUAAGCACAAAGAUUGUGGCUUGUCUGUCUGUGUAAAUUAUUUAGUCCAAUCACUAACACUUGGUGUCAUGGAUCACAAUUACUGGUCCCCCACUAUGUGGCUUGUCUUUCAUGCUGGUUUCCUCUUCUUUAAUCUUCUUCAUUUAUCUGUGCACAUUGUUCUUGUCAAUGGUGUCAUCUCCUGAAACAACCUAUGUCAGAUAAUUAAAAAAAACAUUAUAACUACUUGUGCAGGAACUUGUUAAAUUUCUUCCAACCACUUGAAGUAUUUCAAAUUCUCACCAGAUUGUAUUUUAAGAAAAUGUAGCUAUGCAUGCUGAUGACAAAAAUCGCAUUCAUUUUUUAAAAAUCUAGAAAUUGAAAAUAAAGAAGUUACGUAAGUGAAGAAAAUUUUUUAAAAAUCUGAAAUACCUUAAGUGUUAGGAAGAAAUUUAACAAGUUCCUCUUUUGCAUUACUGUUGAUACAGCUGUCAUCUAUACAUAUGUAUGCUAAUACACACUGGCACACAUACAAGCACACAUGCGCAUACACACACACACAUUCUUUUAUUCUUUUAAUGAUUUCAGUAUAACUUAUGUAUACACAUAAAUGCAUACAUACAAACAUGUGUAUAUGUAUGUAUGUAUGUAUAUAUAUAUAUAUGUAUGUAUAUAUAUACACGUAUAUAUGUAUGUAUGUAUAUAUAUAUACACAUAUAUAUAUAUGUAUGUAUGUGUAUAUAUAUAUACACACAUAUGUACAUAUGUGUGUGUAUAUAUAUAUAUACACACACACACACACAUAUAUAUGUGUGUGUGUACAUGUACACACACACACACACACACAUACACACACAAACACACAUGACUAUUGUGUUGAUGCUUGUCAAAACAGAUAAAGAUAAAGAGACCAAAGAAAUUGGAAUUUCAUGGCAACCAUAACAAAACAUCUAUAGCAAGAUUCGUUGCUAUUGACAACAAAUAUAUUUUCCACAAAUGGCCAAAACAAAUCAGGAUUCCGUCUGCAGCUUAGCUUUUUCUGAGUUACAAUAUAAAAGGUAGUUCAAUUUAUUUAGUGUAGAUGUGUGUGCAUAUAUGUGUUUUGUUGUUGCUGUUCAUGCUUAAUCACAUUUGUGACCAUUCUGUCAUAUUUUUAGACAGUGUAUCUUAAAGUAUGGUAAAGUUUUACUAUUACACUCAUCAUAUGAAAUAGAUAGAAUAGUAAAAAUUUAUUGGAAAAGUUCAUGGAAAUGGUGAGGCAAAAGUCCCAUAAAAAAUUCUUAUAUUUUAGACCGAAAAUUCUUUCACAGUAAGAAUAAUCACCCAAUUUCUUGUUCUUUUUUCUCUCUCCUUAUUUAGAAAGGAUCAGAGUUUGGAGACUAGUCUAAUAGUAAAGAAUUACAUUGUCUUAUUUGGCUUUCCUUUACUUUUUCUAAAGAUAGUAGUAUAUGAUUUCAGGGAUAUUUAGCUUUUACAACAAUUACCUCUAACCAGCAGUUCCAACCAGCAUUAAUACUAUCAGAGAAUGUCUUGGUUCUUUUAAUCCACAUUGUAAUAUUGUUAUAUUGGAAACUGGUACUUAUACUAUAUCUACAUUUUGAGUUGCUUGACCAUUUUGUUCUUAUUAAGUCUUCAUCUACUUUACCCUCUCCUCUAUAAACUCACCUUUUUGUCAUAUUCAUUGUACUAUGCCCUUGGAUCUGUCCCUAUUCAAUACCCUCUACCAUCUCCCUUCUGUACUGAUAGCCAUAACUCUAUCACACCUGAUCACUCACUAUUGGUAUCCUCCAUUCCUCUCUAUCACUGUCCAUCAUUUGUCCUCUCUCACACCACCAUCCAUCCAUCUUUAUUGCAAUCCAUCACUUUCUCAUGUUACUCCUUUCCUUAUCACUCAUUAUUGUCAUACAUCACCUUGUCUCCUCACCUCUUUCUCUCUCACCAGUCUCUCAAUCCCAAUAUUCUGUCUCCCUCCUCAUGGUUUUCAUUCCAAAUCACUCUACUCAAUUGUUUUUUUUUUUUUUUAAUCCCUUUACUAGCAAACAACAACAGAUAGCUACCAUCAGUCUCCCUUCUCCAUCACUCUCUACCACCCUCUUAUUCCUAUCCCUGUUUGUUCUAUCAUACUUCAAUAGGGACAUGUCAGAGGCAUAUGAAAGAAAGAGGAAAGAUGGUCUACUUACUAUCACAGGUUGGACAGAUUGUUAGAGUCCAAGUCAGUUUUUAUUUGGAGUUCCUGCUCUCAUAGACAGAUUAGCAACAUUCCAGUUUUGUUGUUCAUACUGAUGCCAACCACUAUACUGUGUAUAUUUUAAUGUGGCACCAUUACCAGAGAGGCUGCCUUGUUCUCAACAAGACUAAAGUGUACCCACUGCUGUAUAUUGACUCUUCUCAUUCAAUACAACAUAACUGUCUCUUCUAUUCAUUCUGUCAGUUAUGUUGUAUUGAAAGAGACAAUAUAGAGCAGUGAGUAUACUUUAGUCUUGUUGAUAACAAGGCAGCCUCUCUGAUAAUGGUGGUGCAUUAAAAUGUACACGCAGUACACACAGUACAGUAGUUGGCAUCAGGAAGAGCAACAAAACUGGAAUGUUGCUAAUCUGUCUGAGAGCAGGAACUCUGAAUAAGAACUGACUUGGACUUUAAUAAUAUCUCCAACCUGUUAUAGUAUAGAAAGUAGACAUAAGAUUAUGAUGACGAUGAUGUAAUAUGCUUUUUUCCUCUUUUAUCCAUGCAACAAUCACACCAACCUGGGUGCAGCUGUAACCACAGUAACUAUUUUGUUUUAAUAUUUGCUGAGGAUUUGCUUUUCUCUCUCAUCUUUCCUCUUUCUCUCAUAUACUCUUUACUCUUUUACUCUUUUACUUGUUUCAGUCAUUUGACUGCGGCCAUGCUGGAGCACCACCUUUAGUACUUAUUCUAUCGGUCUCUUUUUGCCGAACCGCUAAGUAACGGGGACAUAAACACAACAGCAUCGGUUGUCAAGCAAUGCUAGGGGGACAAACACAGACACACACAUAUACAUAUAUAUACAUAUAUACGACAGGCUUCUUUCAGUUUCCGUCUACCAAAUCCACUCACAAGGCAUUGGUCGGCCCGGGGCUAUAGCAGAAGACACUUGCCCAAGAUGCCACGCAGUGGGACUGAACCCGCAACCGUGUGGUUGGUUAGCAAGCUACUUACCACAUAGCCACUCCUGCGCCAUAUGCUUCUGAUAUAUCCCAAUGAAGCAUUUUCCGCGUCUUCCUCCAGAUCAUGCAUCACUGCUCUGCUAUCCUUUCUAAGACCUAUGCCAACCAGGUAGGGUCCUAGAAGCCCUGCCAUUGUGCCUCACACAAUUUCCUAAAUCUUUCAUAUUUUUAACCAUCCUCUCAUGUUGCUUUCUGAAGUUACCAUCUGCUCAACAAUAGUACUUUUUUGUCAAAUUAGACAAUACCAUAAGGUCAGGGUGCUGCUUCAUUAUUGCAAUAAGUUUUGGGAACACAAACACUUUAUUUAAAUUCAUCAGCACCUUCUAGUUAUUAGUGAUCGGAAAUUUUUCUCAUAAUGUUCUUUUUUUUAUACCCUUGCAUUAUCCCCUUUUGCCCUUCCUCUAGAAGGCAACAGGGUGCAACUUGAUGUUGAUCCACAUUGCAUUGUUGUUUUAAGGCCUCAACAAGCAUACUCAAGGCAUUGUUAUUCUGCCAGAUUUACUGUGUAGCAGGAUAACGUGCAUGCUACUGGAACAUUUGCCAGUGAUGCCUAGGCUCUGCACUAAUGAUGACCAAGUCUCAGUUCAACCUUUCUCAGGAGAAAUUAAUCUUAGCUAGCUCCAUUUUCUGCAACAUACCACAUGACAAGUUCCAUUACAUGUUUCCUAUGUGCAUUUGCUUUCUAACCAUGCAGUUUUAAUCAUACACACUCAUCUUUGAUAUCUUCCUGCUUUUGUUACUCUGGUGACAUAUUCAUUUGUUCCAUAUCUUUCUCAGAGUUGCUUGUGAAUUCUGCAUGUAUGCCCUCUUUGAUUUAAUUUUUAGGCUGGUUUUGACCUCAGCAUUUUUUCUCAUACUCCAUUUCAUUCCUGUCAGCACUAUUGGCUGGACUUCUUGAACACUGAGAUUCACUGAACCCCAGAGCAUCAUGUGCUAACAGGCUUUUGCUAACUUAAACUCCUCCACUAUUGAUGUUAAAGACAUGUAGUUUUGUAGUAGCAAAAUGCAUCUACCUUUAAUCCAAAAUGGAGAACCAAGCCACUUUCGUAGAACCUUACUAGCACACUUGCCUAUUCUAUCCACUAUUGUGAAAGGUAUUUCAUGCAUUUGGCAAGGCCAUGUAAGCCUUGGUAAAUGGCUAUGUUCACAACUUUACAUCUUAAACUUGCAUGCCAAACCACAGUUCUCAAGGGUAGUCAGUACUCUUCUCAACAUGACUUCAAUCUCAAUACCAGCUCUUGGUAUCAUCUAAAGCAGUGCUUCUCAAAGUGGAUCAUACUGCCUCCUGGUUGGUGAAAGGAAAGGAAAAUUUUAUAUAGGUACUGAAGAGAAAGGAAGCUGUAAGAGUUGGGGUGUUAGGUGAAUAGGUACAGUGUAAAAAAAUUUUUUUAGCGUUUGUCUCCUGUUUAUGUAUUAACUUUAAAAAAAAACUGUUUAAAUGUAAUAUCAUAUAAACUGUUUAUUAGCUGUAUUCAGAACAGCAGCAUAAAUAAUAAUGGAUAGACUUUGAAAUGUAAAUAAGUGAAUAAACAAAACUAAAUUUAUAUAGGCGCAGGAGUGGCUGUGUGGUAAGAAGCUUGCAUCUCAACCACAUGGUUCUAGGUUUGGUCCCACUGUGUGGAACCUUGGGCAAGUGGCUUCUGCUAUAGCCUCAGGCCUGACCAAAGCCUUGUUAGUGGAUUCAGUGGAUGGAAACUGAAAGAAGCUUAUAUAUAUAUAUAUAUAUAUAUAUAUAUAUAUAUAUAUAUAUAUGUAUGUAUAUAUGUAUGUAUGUAUUUUUGUGCUUGUGUUUGUCCCCCUGCCAUCACUUGACAACUGAUGUUGGUGUGUUUACAUCUCUGUAACUUUACGGUUCGGCAAAAGAGACUGAUAGAAUAAGUACUAGGCUUAUAAAGAAUAAGUCCUGGGUUGAUUUGUUUGACUGAAGGUGGUGCUCCAACAUGGCCACAGUCAAAUGAUUGAAACAAGUAAAAGAAUAAAAGAAUAUCAUCUAUAAAUGCAAAUUAUAAACAAUAAGCAAGAGUAUAAUUUGAGAAGCAUGUCAAAAUUUGUGGUUAUCUCCAUCUACAUUAUGAUGGAGAUAGCUGCUUAUUAAUUAGGUAUGUAAGAGUUACUAAAAGAAAGCAAUUAUUAAAGGCUUGACCAUCUAGAAAUUUUUUUAUAAAAAUCAUGUUCCAAGAAAUUUCCUUUAACUUCGAUUUCUGAAGUUUAUUGAAUAUUUGAACUAUACGUUUUUCACAGAUUUAAAUAUUCAUUGCAGGCGAAAUUUUCUGUUUUUGUUUGUAACAGUUUCUCACUCUCUUUUGCUUCUAUUUUCAUUAAUGAUAAUUUAAUAUAUAUUCAUUUUAAUGUUUUGAUUUCAAGUUUUAAUUCACUAUUUGAAAACCUCACAAUUUAUUCUAUAUAUAUAAUGUAAAAAAAAUUAUUGAAUGAAUGAAUGCUAUUAGACAAAAUAACUGUAUAACUUUGUUAAAUGAAUAUUUUUGAUAAAAUUUUUUUCAUAUACCAGUAUGAAGUGAGUUUGUUGGUAUGACUGUUUGGAAUGCUAUAAGCCUUACAAUAAUAAUUAUGUGAUUGCUGCUAUUUCUAUCAUGCUAAACGUAGCUGGGUUACCUUGAAGUUUGUUUAAAUUAGAGAUAAAUUACUGAAAGAAAUAUUUACCAAUCAAGUGAGAUUUUUUAUUAAUUGAAGUUCUCAGAAAAAUUUACUUUUUGAACUUCCUUUAAUUAUUGAAUAUUUCAAGUUCACAAAUUUAAAUAUUUGGUGCAGUUUUUAGUGAGCUUUUAUUUAUACAUGUUUAUUUCAUUCAUUGCUUGUAGUGUUCUCUCUCCUGCUCUCUCUCUCUCUCACACAUACACACGUACAUCUUUUGGUUAUGCAUUUGUUGUUUCUGAUAUUAGAGCCAUAUCACCUGAAGAAUUGAACACAUGAACUAUGAUCCACCUGAUGUCCAUGGAUACUACAGACUGUACAGUAAUCAUCCCAGGAAUAUGGACUAUGAUCAUAAGAAACAUGUGAUUCGUGGAAAUGUGCUACUAAAAGGAAGUUUGUGAUAGUUGAAAAAGUUGGGAAAGUACUGAUCUACAGGUGUUUUGUAUGGAAUGACAUAACUGUAAUAGCUCAGCCAGCCUUAACAAGAGAGUUAAUGCUUCUCUCUUUGUUUCCACACAUGAAGUAAGAUCAAUUGCAAACACUUGCAGUAGUGAGGGUACCAUAAAUCUUAUAUUCAUUCAUUUUGAAUUAUUCUUUAAAUUUCUGAAUACUGAUUCCAUAGCCAUCACAAAGAGGAGUGAAAGAAAAGUACACUCUGCCAUGAUGUCUAUUUUUCACUCAUUCCAGUUACUUGUAAAUUCUUUGGUUGGGAAACUGCACAAAUGCUAAUUCAAGUUAUGUGUUAGAAAUUCCUUUACUCUUCUUGGAAUUUAAAAACAUAUAAAACUCAAUGCUUUAUUUAUCAGUAUGUUGUAUACUGAUCCUUAUACAUUUGCCAGGUCAAUCCAAACAUCCUGCAGGGCUUUUCUUCCAUUCCUAGCAUACUGAAUGAUCUGGGAAUGCUUAAGCUCAUCUGGGGAUCCUGGGAAACUGGCUUUCUGGACUGAUGUGUUUAUGAGUUUAUUCAGUAUGAGGAACCCUGUCACCUAUAUCACCAUCACUCCAUAAAACACUUUACUCUCUACACUGGUUUCAAAUUUUGGCACAAGGUCAGCAGGUUUGAGGGAAGGGGUAAGUCAAUUACAUUAACCCUAGUGCUCAUCUGGUAUUAAUUUAUUGACCCCAAAAGGAUGAAAGGCAAAGUCGAUCUCAGUGGAAUUAGCACUCAGACUGCAAAGACAUGACAUGCUGGUAAACAUUUUGCCCAGCAUGCUAAGGAUUCUGCCAUCUCACUGCCUUAAACUUUACUCUCUACAUUAAUGAGAUACAUUGGGUGGAGCUAGUUAAUUGAUGAUGUCCUCACUUCAUUUGGUACCUGCAGGUCCUCUAGAAAGCACUAGUCUUGUAUUGUAAUUUCUUUUCCACAUGCUCACUGCAAUAGAUUUGCCAAUAGUGUGAGGAAGUCAGGGCAGUGUUUGUAACUCUGGUACAAGAUACCAUUGUUAUUUGGGGUAUUUUUGGACUUUGCCUUCUUCACAGACAUCUUGGUUGAGAGAUUAGAAAGGUUGAGAUUUGAACUCAGAAUGUAAAGGGAGCUGGAAUAAAAUUGCAACACUAACAAUUUUCACCAGUCUACUAUUCUAACAAUAAUAAUGAUGAUGUUACUCCUACUGCUGCUACUGCUACUUCUACUAUUACUACUACUAUUACUGAUGAUAAUGAUUGUUUUUUUUUCUUUUUGUAGAUUGUCUAUUUUGCUCCUGCUUCAAUUCAGAUCAGAAACUGUUAAAAGAGAAAGAAAAAUAAACUUUAAAUUUACCUUUAGAGAGAUUCAAGCAUCAUAAAACAUGGCUGAACUUUGUCCUGGACUUCUUUGGGCUGUUGUCUGGUUUCUUCUGCUCAUAUUUGUUGGUUGGCCCUUGGGAUUUAUGAUUGCAUUUCUGUACAUCUUUCUCUUACCAUUUGGAGUCUGCUUGGAACCUAUAAAAGGUGUGUGUGAUGCAUUGCUGAAAGUGGUUCAAUUUCCACUGACCUUUGCUGAAAACAUGGUUGCUAUGAAAUCACCCUGCGGAUGAAGUGCUUGCUGUCUUGACCACUACAAGAAAUGGCCACAGCAAGGAAUAACCACAAGAAGAAAUGGCCAUCAGCUUAAAAUAAUCACAGAACAAAAAAAUAUAUAAAAAGAAAAUGGCUACAAGGACAAAAAUUAAAAAGUAAAUUACAUGAAGUCAAAUUAAAAGUUUUUAUAUAUAUGCAUAUAUAUAUAUAUAUAUACACACAUAUACAUAUAUAUAUAUGCAUAAAUUAUAUAUAUAUAUAUAUAUAUAUAUAUGCAUAUAUACAUAUAUAUACAUUUUAUAUAUAUAUAUAUAUAUAUAUAUAUAUAUAUAUAUAGGGAUGUUAAGAAAUUAAUUACAAUAAUCAUGUGAAUAAAUAAUUAUCAGUUAACAAGUGGACGAAAAAUUUUGAAAGAUAAUAAGAAGACUUGAUUGAAAAUUCAAUACAAAGUUAAUUAUGCAAUACUAGUUAUUAAGUAUUGAAGGCUGGUAGAUGCUAGAAUCAGUUGAGUGCUGGCAAGAUGGAUUUCUCUAAUUAAUAACAUCCCUUAAUGUUUUAUAGUUCAAAAUCUACCGAGCUUGACUUGACUGUCUUUCACCUUUCUGAGGGAAAGAGCAAGGAAAGAGGGUUGAUGAGAUAGUAACUGGACUGAAUUCAUCUUCCCAUAAAAUUUGUGUUCUUGUGCCUGCCUACGUUCAAUAUCAUUAAUAUGACAUUAAUUAAUCAUAGGAAUAAUAUUUAAAAAAAUAACUUUUGGUUAAUCCAUCUUAAUGAUAAAUUUACUAAUCAAAAAUUGAUAUGUAAUUAAUUAAUUAAAUGGCAUUUCAUCAGUUAAGGAUUAACUAAUUAAUUAAUCAUAGCCUAAAAAUGAUAAAUCAAUAAGUAAUUAAUUAUUAAUUAAUAUAUAAUGUGUUAAUUUGAUUAAUUACCUGCUAAGUAAUUGUUAAUGAUUAUUGUUUAAUUAAUUAUUAAUUCAUUGCUAUUAUAAAGCAAUUAAUUAAUAUUUAAAUAGUUAUAAAUUAACAAAUUACAAGUUUAAAUACUUUCAGCUAAUACUAAUUUACAAUUUAUAGAUAAGUAUUGCUGUAGUUUUACUGAGUUUUAAAAUCACAUACAAUUAAAUAAUCAAUAACCUAUGAAAUGAAAUACAAACAAGUACAUCAAUAUAUUCACAUUUUCGUAUCAUCCUGGUAAAUCUGUCAAGUAAAGAAUCUUGAAUGUGUUUUAC
This 34252-nucleotide long non-coding RNA is filed under the name Octopus vulgaris (common octopus). Lineage: Eukaryota; Metazoa; Mollusca; Cephalopoda; Octopoda; Octopodidae. The record is from RNAcentral.